AUUGAACGCUGGCGGCAUGCUUUACACAUGCAAGUCGAACGCGAAAGCGGGGGGCAACCCUGCCGGUAGAGUGGCGAACGGGUGAGUAAUACAUCGGAACGUAUCCUCGCGUGGGGGACAACCAGUCGAAAGACGGGCUAAUACCGCAUACGCUGGAGACAGGAAAGCAGGGGACCCGCAAGGGCCUUGUGCGCAUGGAGCGGCCGAUGUCUGAUUAGCUAGUUGGUGGGGAAAGGCUCACCAAGGCGACGAUCAGUAGCUGGUCUGAGAGGAUGAUCAGCCACACUGGGACUGAGACACGGCCCAGACUCCUACGGGAGGCAGCAGUGGGGAAUUUUGGACAAUGGGGGCAACCCUGAUCCAGCCAUGCCGCGCGAGGGAAGAAGGCCU
RNAcentral lists this ribosomal RNA (390 nucleotides) under uncultured bacterium. Its description in RNAcentral is "bacterial SSU rRNA". It matches the Rfam family "Bacterial small subunit ribosomal RNA", at positions 29 to 417 of the family's 1533-position model. The record is from RNAcentral.